GGUUAAGCGACUAAGCGUACACGGUGGAUGCCCUGGCAGUCAGAGGCGAUGAAGGACGUGCUAAUCUGCGAAAAGCGUCGGUAAGGUGAUAUGAACCGUUAUAACCGGCGAUGUCCGAAUGGGGAAACCCAGUGUGUUUCGACACACUAUCAUUAACUGAAUCCAUAGGUUAAUGAGGCGAACCGGGGGAACUGAAACAUCUAAGUACCCCGAGGAAAAGAAAUCAACCGAGAUUCCCCCAGUAGCGGCGAGCGAACGGGGAGGAGCCCAGAGCCUGAAUCAGUGUGUGUGUUAGUGGAAGCGUCUGGAAAGGCGCGCGAUACAGGGUGACAGCCCCGUACACAAAAAUGCACAUAUUGUGAGCUCGAUGAGUAGGGCGGGACACGUGGUAUCCUGUCUGAAUAUGGGGGGACCAUCCUCCAAGGCUAAAUACUCCUGACUGACCGAUAGUGAACCAGUACCGUGAGGGAAAGGCGAAAAGAACCCCGGCGAGGGGAGUGAAAAAGAACCUGAAACCGUGUACGUACAAGCAGUGGGAGCCCUGAUUUAUCAGGGUGACUGCGUACCUUUUGUAUAAUGGGUCAGCGACUUAUAUUCUGUAGCAAGGUUAACCGAAUAGGGGAGCCGGAGGGAAACCGAGUCUUAACUGGGCGUUAAGUUGCAGGGUAUAGACCCGAAACCCGGUGAUCUAGCCAUGGGCAGGUUGAAGGUUGGGUAACACUAACUGGAGGACCGAACCGACUAAUGUUGAAAAAUUAGCGGAUGACUUGUGGCUGGGGGUGAAAGGCCAAUCAAACCGGGAGAUAGCUGGUUCUCCCCGAAAGCUAUUUAGGUAGCGCCUCGUGAAUUCAUCUCCGGGGGUAGAGCACUGUUUCGGCAAGGGGGUCAUCCCGACUUACCAACCCGAUGCAAACUGCGAAUACCGGAGAAUGUUAUCACGGGAGACACACGGCGGGUGCUAACGUCCGUCGUGAAGAGGGAAACAACCCAGACCGCCAGCUAAGGUCCCAAAGUCAUGGUUAAGUGGGAAACGAUGUGGGAAGGCCCAGACAGCCAGGAUGUUGGCUUAGAAGCAGCCAUCAUUUAAAGAAAGCGUAAUAGCUCACUGGUCGAGUCGGCCUGCGCGGAAGAUGUAACGGGGCUAAACCAUGCACCGAAGCUGCGGCAGCGACGCUGAUGCGUUGUUGGGUAGGGGAGCGUUCUGUAAGCCUGUGAAGGUGUGCUGUGAGGCAUGCUGGAGGUAUCAGAAGUGCGAAUGCUGACAUAAGUAACGAUAAAGCGGGUGAAAAGCCCGCUCGCCGGAAGACCAAGGGUUCCUGUCCAACGUUAAUCGGGGCAGGGUGAGUCGACCCCUAAGGCGAGGCCGAAAGGCGUAGUCGAUGGGAAACAGGUUAAUAUUCCUGUACUUGGUGUUACUGCGAAGGGGGGACGGAGAAGGCUAUGUUGGCCGGGCGACGGUUGUCCCGGUUUAAGCGUGUAGGCUGGUUUUCCAGGCAAAUCCGGAGAAUCAAGGCUGAGGCGUGAUGACGAGGCACUACGGUGCUGAAGCAACAAAUGCCCUGCUUCCAGGAAAAGCCUCUAAGCAUCAGGUAACAUCAAAUCGUACCCCAAACCGACACAGGUGGUCAGGUAGAGAAUACCAAGGCGCUUGAGAGAACUCGGGUGAAGGAACUAGGCAAAAUGGUGCCGUAACUUCGGGAGAAGGCACGCUGAUAUGUAGGUGAAGCGACUUGCUCGUGGAGCUGAAAUCAGUCGAAGAUACCAGCUGGCUGCAACUGUUUAUUAAAAACACAGCACUGUGCAAACACGAAAGUGGACGUAUACGGUGUGACGCCUGCCCGGUGCCGGAAGGUUAAUUGAUGGGGUCAGCGCAAGCGAAGCUCUUGAUCGAAGCCCCGGUAAACGGCGGCCGUAACUAUAACGGUCCUAAGGUAGCGAAAUUCCUUGUCGGGUAAGUUCCGACCUGCACGAAUGGCGUAAUGAUGGCCAGGCUGUCUCCACCCGAGACUCAGUGAAAUUGAACUCGCUGUGAAGAUGCAGUGUACCCGCGGCAAGACGGAAAGACCCCGUGAACCUUUACUAUAGCUUGACACUGAACACUGGUCCUUGAUGUGUAGGAUAGGUGGGAGGCUUUGAAGUGUGGACGCCAGUCUGCAUGGAGCCGUCCUUGAAAUACCACCCUUUAAUGGCUGGUGUUCUAACGUUGGCCCGUAAUCCGGGUUGCGGACAGUGUCUGGUGGGUAGUUUGACUGGGGCGGUCUCCUCCUAAAGAGUAACGGAGGAGCACGAAGGUUGGCUAAUCCUGGUCGGACAUCAGGAGGUUAGUGCAAUGGCAUAAGCCAGCUUGACUGCGAGCGUGACGGCGCGAGCAGGUGCGAAAGCAGGUCAUAGUGAUCCGGUGGUUCUGAAUGGAAGGGCCAUCGCUCAACGGAUAAAAGGUACUCCGGGGAUAACAGGCUGAUACCGCCCAAGAGUUCAUAUCGACGGCGGUGUUUGGCACCUCGAUGUCGGCUCAUCACAUCCUGGGGCUGAAGUAGGUCCCAAGGGUAUGGCUGUUCGCCAUUUAAAGUGGUACGCGAGCUGGGUUUAGAACGUCGUGAGACAGUUCGGUCCCUAUCUGCCGUGGGCGCUGGAGAACUGAGGGGGGCUGCUCCUAGUACGAGAGGACCGGAGUGGACGCAUCACUGGUGUUCGGGUUGUCAUGCCAAUGGCACUGCCCGGUAGCUAAAUGCGGAAGAGAUAAGUGCUGAAAGCAUCUAAGCACGAAACUUGCCCCGAGAUGAGUUCUCCCUGAGACAUUAAGUCUCCUGAAGGAACGUUGAAGACGACGACGUUGAUAGGCCGGGUGUGUAAGCGCAGCGAUGCGUUGAGCUAACCGGUACUAAUGAACCGUGAGGCUUAACCUU
RNAcentral lists this ribosomal RNA (2906 nucleotides) under Escherichia albertii. RNAcentral's name for it is "23S ribosomal RNA". It matches the Rfam family "Bacterial large subunit ribosomal RNA". Lineage: Bacteria; Pseudomonadati; Pseudomonadota; Gammaproteobacteria; Enterobacterales; Enterobacteriaceae. The record is from RNAcentral.